UCUUGGUUCUAUUUUGUUGGUUUCUAGAAUUGAGAUAAUGAUUAAUAGGGACAAUUGGGGGCAUUCGUAUCAACACGUCAGAGGUGGAAUUCUUGGAUUGUGUUGCGACGAACUACUGCGAAAGCAUUUGCCAAGGAUGUUUUCAUUGAUCAAGAACGAAAGUAAGGGGAUCGAAGACGAUUAGAUACCGUCGUAGUCUUUACCAUAAACUAUGCCGACUAGAGAUGGGGCAUCGUUCAUUUACGACUUGCUCCGCACCUUAUGAGAUAUUAAAGUCUUUGGGUUCCGGGGGGAGUAUGGUCGCAAGAUUGAAACUUAAAGGAAUUGACGGAAGGGCACCACCAGGAGUGGAGCCUGCGGCUUAAUUUGACUCAACACGGGGAAACUCACCAGGUCCAGACAUAAUAAGGAUUGACAGAUUGAUAGCUCUUUCUUGAUUUUAUGGGUGGUGGUGCAUGGCCGUUCUUAGUUCGUGGAGUGAUUUGUCUGCUUAAUUGCGUUAACGAACGAGACCUUAACCUGCUAAAUAGGAACGCCUAUCUUCGGAUAAGCGUCUUUCUUCUUAGAGGGACUUUAUGCGUUUCAGCAUGAGGAAGUUUGAGGCUAAAACAGGUCUGUGAUGCCCUUCGAUGUUCUGGGCUGCACGCGCGCUACACUGAUGCGUUCAACGAGUGUACAACCUUGCCCGAUAGGGUUGGGUAACCUUUUGAACACGCAUCGUGAUGGGGAUAGAUUAUUGCAAUUA
This 745-nucleotide ribosomal RNA is filed under the name uncultured Syndiniales. RNAcentral describes it as "SSU rRNA". It matches the Rfam family "Eukaryotic small subunit ribosomal RNA", at positions 828 to 1592 of the family's 1831-position model. The record is from RNAcentral. Lineage: Eukaryota; Dinophyceae; Syndiniales.